This 292-nucleotide ribosomal RNA is filed under the name uncultured bacterium. Its description in RNAcentral is "partial 16S ribosomal RNA". It matches the Rfam family "Bacterial small subunit ribosomal RNA", at positions 505 to 796 of the family's 1533-position model. The record is from RNAcentral.
GUGCCAGCAGCCGCGGUAAUACGGAGGGUGCGAGCGUUGUCCGGAAUCACUGGGCGUAAAGGGCGCGUAGGUGGCGCGGUCAGCGUGUGGUGAAAGCUCGGGGCUCAACCCCGAGUCGGCCAUGCGAACUGCCGCGCUCGAGCACUGUAGAGGCAGAUGGAAUUCCGGGUGUAGCGGUGGAAUGCGUAGAGAUCCGGAAGAACACCGGUGGCGAAGGCGGUCUGCUGGGCAGUUGCUGACACUGAGGCGCGACAGCGUGGGGAGCAAACAGGAUUAGAAACCCCGGUAGUCC